This 74-nucleotide transfer RNA is filed under the name Alphaproteobacteria bacterium. RNAcentral describes it as "tRNA-OTHER". Lineage: Bacteria; Pseudomonadati; Pseudomonadota; Alphaproteobacteria. The record is from RNAcentral.
GCUGCUGUCUAUGGUAGAGUCCAAAAAGCCGAGUAAUUCAUGGAUAAUAGGUUCGAUUCCUAUCAGCGGCACCA